This is a non-coding RNA of Cercophora scortea, 81 nucleotides long. Lineage: Eukaryota; Fungi; Ascomycota; Sordariomycetes; Sordariales; Lasiosphaeriaceae. The record is from the annotation of a GenBank genome assembly.
GCUGGAGUAGAGUAGUAGUUAACUCGUCGCCCUCCCACUGCGGAUAAGGCGGAAACCUGGGUGCAAAUCCCGGCUCUAGCA